RNAcentral lists this unclassified non-coding RNA (2114 nucleotides) under Pomacea canaliculata. RNAcentral's name for it is "uncharacterized LOC112576002, transcript variant X2". The record is from RNAcentral. Lineage: Eukaryota; Metazoa; Mollusca; Gastropoda; Architaenioglossa; Ampullariidae.
AAACAACAUGGUGUCUCGUGACACUUGUACUGACAUGUUCACUGAGUGUCGGGAAGGACACCAGGCUCCUUUGUCAGUCAACACGAUUCCUUCUCAAGUACACGAAGACACACACACCCACACAAAUACAGUGUUUUCAAUAUCUAUAAGGACGAGGACGAAACUUAAACAGAAAUGAGUCAAUUAGUAUUGAAAGUGCUGCCUCACGAACCAGGGAAGGACAAUACACCGGAAGAUGUUCAGCUCAGAGGACCUAGUGAUACCAAGGACCUAGUGAUACCAAGGACCUAGUGAUACCAAGGACCUAGUGAUACCAAGAACCUAGUGAUACCAAGGACCUAGUGAUACCAAGGACCUAGUGAUACCAAAAACCUAGUGAUACCAAGGACCUAAUGAUACCAAGAACACGCCCGCGAGAACAACAGGAAGCUUGAGGUCGAAAGAGUCACAUUGUUUAAAGAGUCACCUACAAACGAAGCAGUUCCUUCUCAAAAUACUAAAGUUUGCGUAUACAAAGAGUGUUAAAAUGUUUUACAAAUUUGUUUAGAAUGUUUGUUAGCAUGUCGAUGUCGGUAUGACAUGCUGAUCUGUUGUACGGGUGCGCCACCUGAAGCUGAAUAACUUUCUAUAAAUAUAGGUUAACCUUUCAAAAGAAAACAGCUUGUGGAGAGAACUGUUGACAAAUAAGACCCCAUGUGACGGCACCACAGUAACCUUCACCUUACAGAGCAAGAGGUCAUAUAUUGAAUGGAAGUGAAGAUUGUGUCGGUGUGGUGGAGGAUUGUGUAAGCACAAUCACGGACUGCAAUACAGAAAAAAGAAACUGAACAUGGAGGAGGAAAGGAGAAACCUAAAUGAGUUGAGACAGGUCAAGACUGAGAUGGAAAGGUUGGGUGAAGAAAAAACUACAGUAGAUGACUGAGUGAGUAGCGUUUGUUCUCUGAGACGAUCUCAGGUGACACUUGCAGUAACAGACCAGCGACAAGACCACUGGCAACAUGUCUGGUCACCAGUCAACUGCUCAACAAAAGGCGGGCCGCCGGACAAAAUGUCGUGCACGUGGUGGAGCCAGUCAAAGGGGAGGCAACCCUGUGGAGGUUUAUCUGCACUUUGUCAAAGACAUGCAAGCUGCUCUCCUCGCUGGGUCCGGAAGUGCGAGCCCUAUUCAAGACAUCCAACACAAGUCAGGAGCCGAUGUUCAGUUGGCCCCCAACCCGUCCCCCGUACAGGACACGAAGACUGUCAUCAUCCGCGGCUCUCGUCUGCAGAUCGAGACGGCAGUCAGGCUCAUCAACCAGGAGACCGGGGUCAAGGUUCUGUGGCCCUGCGACUACAGUGAGUGUACCCUGUAUAUCUCCUCCCCGCAUGUGUAUCAAGACCCAGGGUGAGGGUGUGUCCUUCACUGGAGACUGCUAUACUGCUUUUAUUCCACUCUUUCCGGAACAAGUCCAGAGUCUGUCUAGUCGGACCACCUGGCACAGGUAAAACCGUGGUGCUGCUGCUGAAGGGGAUGGAGUGGCUGCGAUGUGGUCACCACGUCCACGUUGAGAGUACUUGUACUCAGAGUCGUGCAGCUUGUAGGAUGCUGUACUACCUUCUUCUUCAAGCUGUGAGCACACAGCAGUUGGCAGGUGUAUCACCCAAUCAGCUUCAUUUCCUUCAGCAUGACUUUUUUGUACCUGAAGGCGAGAAGAAGGCCCUUGACGACUUUGUAAAGGCUGCGAACAAAGGGUCAUUGUAUGUCCUCGCAGAUGAAGCGCAGUGGAUCGUCGAUAUCAACAUAUUCUGUGAUGAAGUGCUGAGACAAGUUCCUCUUCUUCAUCUGUGGGCGGCAAGCUAUUUCUUUAAAAACAUUCCGGCUGGAUGGCAAGUGGAAUGUUUAACCAGACCUCUCCGCUCUCCACCGGCCGUCGUCAGGGAAGUGGAGCAGGACGCAUCAUUUGUUAGAGAUGGCGCUGUCCAAGCGUACACUGAUCGUGGGGUGGCCGACCACACAGACGGCCCGCCAGUCACCACAUUUCUCCACGGACCCCAGUGUCACCAUCGUCUGUCACUAAACUGUGUCACGUGCGGUCGCGAGGUGGCCAACUUCCUAAACAAGCUUCGUCAUUGUU